This 427-nucleotide ribosomal RNA is filed under the name uncultured bacterium. Its description in RNAcentral is "partial 16S ribosomal RNA". It matches the Rfam family "Bacterial small subunit ribosomal RNA", at positions 355 to 774 of the family's 1533-position model. The record is from RNAcentral.
UGGGGAAUAUUGGACAAUGGGCGAAAGCCUGAUCCAGCCAUGCCGCGUGUGUGAAGAAGGUCUUCGGAUUGUAAAGCACUUUAAGUUGGGAGGAAGGGCAGUAAGUUAAUACCUUGCUGUUUUGACGUUACCGACAGAAUAAGCACCGGCUAACUCUGUGCCAGCAGCCGCGGUAAUACAGAGGGUGCAAGCGUUAAUCGGAAUUACUGGGCGUAAAGCGCGCGUAGGUGGCUUGUUAAGUUGGAUGUGAAAGCCCCGGGCUCAACCUGGGAACUGCAUCCAAAACUGGCAAGCUAGAGUACGGUAGAGGGUGGUGGAAUUUCCUGUGUAGCGGUGAAAUGCGUAGAUAUAGGAAGGAACACCAGUGGCGAAGGCGACCACCUGGACUGAUACUGACACUGAGGUGCGAAAGCGCGGGGAGCAAACA